AAAAAGGCAAACCCUGAAUUUCCGUGUCCAACUUUGAUUGUCCAUCUUAUAUGAAUUUUUUUUAUAAUUCGUAUUUUCAUUGUUGUUAGAUGAUAAAACAUGAUUAAUAUUUUAUGCGUAACUUGUCUUUUUAAUUUUUUUCAUAAUUUUUUCAAAUAAGACGGACGGUCAAACGUUGGGCACAAAAACCAGGGUU
RNAcentral lists this microRNA precursor (196 nucleotides) under Oryza sativa Indica Group (long-grained rice). RNAcentral's name for it is "MIR812 microRNA precursor family". It matches the Rfam family "MIR812 microRNA precursor family". The record is from Rfam by way of RNAcentral. Lineage: Eukaryota; Viridiplantae; Streptophyta; Magnoliopsida; Poales; Poaceae.